CCCUUCGAUGUUCGGAGCUGCACGCGCGCUACACUGUGGGUGGCAGCAUGCUAGCUUGCCUCGCUCGCAAGAGUGGGGUAAUCGUUUGAAAAUCCCACGUGAUUGGGAUAGGGACUUGUAAUUAUUUCCCUUGAACGAGGAAUCCCUAGUAAGUGCAGGUCAUCAGCUUGCGCUGAUUACGUCCCUGCCCUUUGUACACACCGCCCGUCGCUCCUACCGAUUGAAUGGUCCGGUGAAGCGUUCGGACCGUGGCCUUUGGACGGUUCGCCGUCUGUUGGCUGCGGGAAGUUCGUUAAACCUUAUCAUUUAGAGGAAGGAGAANUCGUAACA
Molecule: ribosomal RNA, 330 nt
Filed under: uncultured eukaryote
Lineage: Eukaryota
Description: partial 18S ribosomal RNA
Rfam family: Eukaryotic small subunit ribosomal RNA
Source: RNAcentral